Molecule: long non-coding RNA, 6422 nt
Filed under: Triticum aestivum (bread wheat)
Lineage: Eukaryota; Viridiplantae; Streptophyta; Magnoliopsida; Poales; Poaceae
Description: long non-coding RNA (TAES_LNC008981)
Source: RNAcentral
CACAAGUGGGCUUCUUCCCAAGCCGAGGAAGAACAAGGUGCUAGUACUAGGUGUUAGGAUGAUCUCCACCGUGUGGGCCCAACGGCCCACCGGGCCCUUAGAUCCGCGCCCUGAUCGGGGGCGCUCAACCCACUAUGGUUGACGGGCCCCUGUCACCUGCACUAUAUAAAGAGGUGGGGGACGCCGGCUCGCACCACGAGGUUCGUCGCGACGCCGUACACCCCACCUACAUCCCCUACCGAUCUAGGGUUAGUGCAGUACUGACGGGAAGCACCGCCACCACUACCCUCUGCCAUCUCCGGCACCGGCGCCAUGGCCGGCACCGGGAGCUCCUCGAACCACAUGGAAAAGGUAAUACCUAUCACCACUGUUGCCGGAAUCCUAGCCUAAGCGAUCCAAAGCAACCUAUCAAUGAUAUCAGCCAGAGAUUGGUUUAGGAUUUUCGGUACAGAAAAGAAAAGGAAAUCCCCUCCCCCAAAGAACCCUAACCCCAAAAUGAAAAAGAGGGGAAAAGAAGGGCAAAGAAAAGUGCGCCGCCGCAAGGACGCGCCGUUCCUCUCGAUCCGGACGGGCAUCGGCAAGCCGAGCCGUUCGGACGAAGAACACACCCCCACUGGGGCAAAGGGCACCACCAACGAGCCGUUUGACGGCGGCGCGUUCACCCUAGAGGUGCUCGCGCACGCCGGCAAAGGGGUCAGCGGGGGCGCCGCAUCUGGAAACUGCCGUCGCUCACGUGAAGGGGAGCAGAGGAGGCUCUGCUCGCGCUGCUCGUGUCUCUCUCGCGCUGGGGCGGUGGUGGAUGGAAAGAAGAGAGGGAAGGGGAACGGCUCGCGCGGCGCGGUGGCCCUCGCCGCCGUCCACGGCGGCCGGAGCGGCCCAUCAGGGCGCUGCCCUUUUUUCCUCGACAGAGAUGGAAAAGAAGAGAAAGAAGAAGGGAAAGGGGAAAGGAAGACAAGGUGGCCAGGCUCGCGCGGCGCGGUAGUGGACUCCGUCACCGGCGGCCGGCAUGAAGGCUCGCGCGGUGGCCGGACCAGCCAGAGAGAGCGCUGCGAGCGAGAGGAUGAGCGCCGCGCGGGAGGAGAAAAUGGACUAGGGUUCAGCCCCAGUCGACCGGCGCAGCUGGUUUUGAUCCAGCGAAUGGCGCGCUGGACCGUCAGAUCGGAUCCGACGGCCACGACGCCAACCCUAGCUGGCUGCGGGCCUCUGGGCCGAAAGAAGAAAGAGGCCGGCUCGCGCGCGCUGGGCUGCUGCCGCUGGGCCGAAAGGGAGGCCACAACCGCGGGCUGGGCCGAAAUGCAACGCGGCUGAGCUGCCCGUUUUUCUGCAUUUUAAUAGUUUUUUUUCCAGUUUUUUUACAAAUUUCAUACAGUUUGGCUAUACAAAAUUAUUCAAAGAAAAAAUUUCGUUUAGAAAAUAGAAAAGUGAAUGGAAAAAGUUUCUGAAAAUGAAAAAUUUCUAUUUUUAGAAAAAGAAAUGUUCAUGAAUUUUAUAAAGAAAAUAAUAAAGUUCAUGAAUUUUUUUAUUUGGUCAAAGAAAAGUUUCUGUAAAGAAUAAAAAGUUCAUGAAUUUUUAUUCAUGUUUUUCCGCUGCGUAAACAAUUAAUACUACUCUUUUACAAAGAAAAUAAAAGUUUAGAUAAAAUUAUAUUUAAAGAGCAUAUUAAAGUAAUUAUUGAAAUGAAAUGAUUAUGUUAUUUUUAUGACCAACGUUGUUAAUAACAUGAUCAUGUUUUAUUAUUGAAAAUAAAAGUGCUCUUUUAAAAGUGAAUAGAACUAAAGUAAAAGAUUAAAUUGUUGCUUCUCUAAUGCAUUUUUUAACCAAGCGGUUAAAAUUUCUUAGAGAGUAAAAGAGUACAGAAUUGUUUCUGAAUAGAAUAUUGUAAAGUUUUCGCUGCAUGGUAAAAGUUUUAUCCUCCAAUUAAAUUGGAACCAACGGGAAAAUUUAAUUGGAAGAACUGUUUUUAGCAUUGUUUUUCCCUUGUGGGUGAAAUCAGAUGCAGAUAGUUUCCGCUAUGACAAAAGAAAGAUAUUUGUUUUAAAGUUAAAAUAUGGUAUUGUUAUUUUCUGACUAACGUUGAUGAUAACAAUACUAUAAUUCUAUGAGUCUUAUGUUCAAAGCUUAAACUCUGAUAAAUUUUGUGUCAAAGUGAUCAAUUUUCAGAGAACAGUUGAAGAUGAAGAAAUGCUCUUGAACUAGAGAAAUGCAUAUUUCUUGUUUCCGCUGCAAUAAAGUUGAUGAUGAUGAUUAUUUCUUAGCAAAGUUGUUUAAUAGAAAUACUAUCAUCACAUUGUUUAUGAGUUAUAUGCAUUAUUUCCAUUUCCACCCAACGGUGAUAUGGAAUUAAUGUAGAAGAACGAGUUUUAUUCUAAUUCUACCACAACGGUGAUUUAGAGUAUAAAAAGAAAGUUUUAAAAAGUUUUAUGUGCAUAUUUUUUUAACCAGACCAACGUAGGGUUAUUUUUUUAUGCUCAUUAUUGUUGAUUAUUGGCUAAGUUUUCUCAGACUAAAAGUUUUCCAUGCUUUCAUUCGUGAAAGCGAAUGGCUGGGUACUUGUUACCCGAAAGAUGACCAAGAAAGGUCAUAACGUGAGGGAGUAUGUUCUCUCUAAAGAAUGGCUUCAAAAGUAAAGAAUUCUUGGAUAUUAAUCCAAGAAAAGAAAACAAAUAGAUCAUUGAGAGUCUUGGUUGACGAAUGUCUUUCAUGUAUUCUAUAUGAAGAAGAUUUUUCAGUCAACACGAUUUGAGAUGAAACAAACAACAUGCGUGUUUAACUUGACCAAUGUCGGAUCAAGCAUGUGUGUCAAAGAGUGUUCGGAUUUAUUUCUGAAUUUCAUGAUUGCAUAUGCAGUCAAAAGAGCCAAUUCUGGCAUUUAUGUUCCUUACAGGGAAUUACCCGCAUAGCGGGAAAAGAUGAUUAUGAUAAGAAACCGCAUGGCGGGAAAGGUCUGGGAAAACACCUGUGUAACUGGGUAAAGUUGACAUAGUAUUAUGUCAAAAAUCCUAUACGUCAGGAGAAAUUUUGGCUAAGACUUAUCCUGUGUGACAGGAGAAAGAUAUGAUGACUCAUGUGCGUUUAAUGUGUCCCACUCUGGGAGAAAAGUAUGGAGUAGCUAUUAUGCUUUCCUAGUAUCGACCGUACACCUUAUGUGCAACGGUCAUUAAGCACUCAAUAAAUCCACAGAGAAUAAAAGUUACAGACGAACCUAAAGAUAAGAAUGAUAUGCAAGUGUGACUUGCAAAAGUACUAAUGAUAAAGAACUAUUUUGAGUUUCUGAAAUGGAACGAGGAAUAAGGAAAAAGUACUCCCAUACCGUUAACAGAUAACUUCAUUACAUAUGAAGUAAUCAGAUACAUGAAGUAGAUACUCAAAGUUUCCUCAAUUCACAAGAGUUGUGAAUGGUUUUUCGAAAUUGUGGCAGAAAAGUUCUUGCCACAUUUCGAGGGGGAGAAAGAAAUAUGAGAUAUCCAUUAAUGAAGAAUGUGAUCAUCUGGGGGAGUACGACGAUCAUAAUAAUACCCCUAAAGAAAAGAAAUAGAUGUAUUCCUGGAUCUUUUACAGUUCCGAAAGCAGACUAAGGAAUACUAAGACAGUGUUUAAAGUGCCAUAAAGAAGAAAAUUUUAACAGAGUAAACCCAAAUAAUAAAGUUUAAUGAUACGCCAUUCUUAGUGAAGAUGGAGUAAUCUGGGGGAGCAUGGUAUGAAGAUACCUAAGACUCAAAUAGAUUGUAUCUGGGGGAGCAUGUUGUAUGACCUAUACAACACCCGUUGUUAGCUCUAUAAACGAGGAAUGAUUAAACAGGAGGUCCCUGUAAAACCUAUUGCCUCUUGGAAGUGAAAGACUACAAUUAAUUUGCCUCUUGGCAAUAACAGAGCAACAACAGCCCCAUAUGAAAGAAGUGCCAGUACCUGAGACACAGAUGGUCUCAAGGAAUGAGAAAAUCAGAUACUUCUGAUUACUAUAAAGUCUAUGUUAGUGAAAUUCAAAUGGAGGUUAAUCCCACCUCAUUUAAAGCGCUCAAUCGAGUUUUGAGAAGUGUCUGCUUAUCUAAAUGAUAAGAGACUAUGUGAGAUGAAAUGAAAUUGGUGAAUUCUGACGAUGUUCGGGACUCAUGAGUAAUUUCCAAUGGAGCCAAAACAGUAGGCUGUAAAGAGUCUACAAGGACAAUGUGACUCCAAAGGAAAUAUGUAAAGGUGUAAAACACGACUAAAAUCGAAAGGUUUUUUGCGCAUUUUACACUGAAUAGAUUACAAUGAGUGUUGGUAGCACAUCAUGAUCUGAGUUACAUCAGAUGAAAGAUAUUAUGAUCUGAGUUACAUCAGAUGAAAGUAAAGAACACAGGGGAUACUGCUUGAAGAAGUCUUUUAUGGACUAAAGCAAUCAAAUGUUGUUUUGGGUUAAAGAAAAUGAGAGGACAAUUGUGUUUGUAUAAAGUUAUAGAAUGGGAAUUUCAUUUCCUAUAUCUUGUACAUGCGAAUAACAUUCUGCUUGUUAGUAGUGAUGUUAAUUCGACUGCAGGAGGAAAAGAAGUUCUUGUCCUCAAAGUUCAAAAUUGCAUUUCUUGGAGUGUCUCUCGUUAUAAAUAUCGAGAUUCACCAAGAAAAUAAUAAAAUGGGGUAUUAGGAAUGUCGCAUGGACAUGCUAACAAAGGUCUCUAAAGUAUGCAUGCGAGAAAACCUACGCCUGUUCUUAUAGUCAAGGGUAAUGGAACUGGAAACUAUGGUGUUCCAAAAGUUGAUGAGAAAAGAUUGAAAACGGAUAUGGUACCAUAUGCUUCAGCUGUUGGAAGCUCAAUAUAUUACCCUGACACAAUUCACGUAUCCGGGUUAUUUUGGCAAUAUCCAGUACAUAUAUAGAUCGCUGGAAUGGAGUCAAAGCUAUCGGCCUCAUGCUGAAAGAAAUAAGUGCUCUCAAAAGAUUGUGAGUACAAAGACAGGACAUGUGAAAUGUAUAGCGAAAUCCACAAUUGUCGCUAACUUUCAUACUUGGAGGUUUUUGUGUGGAAAAGCUCCAAAGAAUGAAACAAUUAUCAUCAAUGUGAUGCAAAGAUAUUUUAUAGCUUGAUAUGAGGCUGAGGGACAGGCAAAAUGGUUAAGGAGACCUGUACCCGGAGUUGAUAAUGGUUGACAACAACGAUAACCAUUUUAAGUUUUUCUCUCCUAUGACAACGAGUCAAGUGUUGAUGCCAAACACACUGACACAGAGUUAUGCGUUGUAAAGGAGAAAGUCCGGAAUUAUGUAGAAAUGCUUGAAGCAUAAAAGCACUAGACAAGUAUUUGCAGAUCUGCUUAUUAAAGGCUUAUCGCCCAGUGUGUUCGGAGAACACACAGUCGACAUGGGUUUUAUGGUAUAGUCUAAGAUUUCCGGACAAUAAAGGGUCCAAGGUUAAAGAAUUUGUUUCAAAACAGAGAGGUACGUUGUGGCUGUCUGAUUCUAUCGGCAAUUGAGCUGUGACGAUGAAACAUGUUCUAUGUACUGAUCUGUUAUGAAACGAGUAAAGGAAAAGUAUAAGGUCAAAAGUAAAAGUUGAGAUCAAGGGGGAGAAUGUUAGGAUGAUCUCCACCGUGUGGGCCCAACGGCCCACCGGGCCCUUAGAUCCGCGCCCUGAUCGGGGGCGCUCAACCCACUAUGGUUGACGGGCCCCUGUCACCUGCACUAUAUAAAGAGGUGGGGGACGCCGGCUCGCACCACGAGGUUCGUCGCGACGCCGUACACCCCACCUACAUCCCCUACCGAUCUAGGGUUAGUGCAGUACUGACGGGAAGCACCGCCACCACUACCCUCUGCCAUCUCCGGCACCGGCGCCAUGGCCGGCACCGGGAGCUCCUCGAACCACAUGGAAAAGGUAAUACCUAUCACCACUAUUGCCGGAAUCCUAGCCUAAGCGAUCCAAAGCAACCUAUCACUAGGCACGGCCUACAAGGCGAUCAAUAGAAUUUUCCAAAUUCCACAUGUGCUGUCAACUGUCAUGCACAAUUUUUCUCACAGUUUUUAGAAUUUUAGAUACGAAUUUUCGCCAACUUACAAAUACCUGUAGUUCACAUGAACCCAAGAAUUAGAUCAUAAUCUUCCGCAUAAAUACUGGCCUCCCGUGGAGUGGACAGCUGCAACCCCGUAAACAAUUUUAAGUUUGGAACGUUUUCAAAGUCUGGAAACUGUAACAAGAUCCACUCUACAUUGACACUGCAUUAAUUAAUCCCCUCGAAAACAGAAAGAAAAAAGGACUAAACUGGCACUGCAUUCGGGCAUGUAUGCGGACAGGUACACAAGAACUCAAAACAGUGAGCUCCCAUUCUAUUCUGUCGCACGCUCUAUUGGCUAUGGACACUUGUUUUCAGCUGACAGAGAGCUUGCUGCAUCCCCAUCUGCUGAAAUCUGCAUCCGCCCUUCACUAGUCGAUGGGCACUUCCACCUCCAUCUUCAG